AGAAGAAGAAGAAGAAGAAAAGGAAAAUGUCUGAAUUUUCUUUGUCCUCAACUACCUCCAAGAAAGCUCAUUUCUCAAUCUCAAGUCUUCUCCUCUCUGAAUUCUUCCUCUUCUGUUCCUUCAUUUUGUGUCAUCCUUUAUAUUUCUUAUACCUCAUUUUCUUGUUUCCUUACCUCUUCAAGCUCCUCUCAUUCCUUUCUCCUCUUUUUGCUACUACUUUUCUUUUACUCUUAGUUCUCCUCACUUUCUCUCCUAAUCUUGUCCAUGAAACUCUGAGUCCUGAAUUGUCUGAAUCAAAAGUGAGUUUUGUACUUGGAACAUACCAAGCAGUUGUAGAGAGAUUGCGGUCUAAGGUAGAGGAAGGAGGGAAUGAUGAGUUUAAUCAAUUUGAGGAGCUAGAAGCGUAUAAGAUCGUGUUCGAGACUUCUAAUUUUGAUAUUGGAGUGGCAAUUACUGAGUUGGAAGCUAAAGAAAAUGGCCUAGAAAGCAAUGAAGCACAGGCUAACACGAGUUCAGGCCAUCAAGAUUCUGUUCUAGGCGUCUCUGAAGUUGUAAGUGGUAAUUUUAAUGAAAAUUCAGUUGUGAUUACAAGAUCAGAAAGUUCUCAGCUGAUUGCGGAAGGAAAUAAAUUAGAAGUAUUCUUGCAUCAAAAGCAGAAGUUCGAAGAUUUUGCAAUCCAAAAAGGAGAAAAAGAAGUCAAGCCACUGAGCGAGAACUCCAAUAAAGUUGAAGAACAGAAAGAGGAAACAUAUGUGAGAAGUGGAUCCAAGGCAAUGGGUUUUCUAGGAGAUGGUAAAGUAGGUGUGGAAGAUAGUAGAGUGUACAUUCCAAGGAUGAAUUCCCAAAAACUUGAAGCAAAUCCUUGGAUUGAUGCUAAUGAUGGUGAUGGAGAGUACACUCCCAGAGUUAUGGACAAAUCUCAGUCGAUGGGAUCAAAUCUUGGGAGUUUUGGAUCAAUGAGGAAAGAAAAAGAGUGGAGGAGGACAUUGGCAUGCAAGCUUUUUGAGGAGAGACGCAAUGUGGAUGGAGGUGAAGGGAUGGAUUUGCUUUGGGAGACAUAUGAGAAUGAUUCUAUGAAGGCGCAGGCAAAAAGCAAAACAAAGAAGGGAAAGAAAGGAAGCAUUGAGUACUAUGAUGAUGAUGAUGAAGAUGAAGAGGAAGAGAAUGAAGGGCAACUAUGUUGCUUGCAGGCUCUCAAAUUCUCAGCUGGGAAGAUGAAUUUGGGAAUGGGAAGGCCUAAUCUUGUCAAGAUCUCCAAGGCCCUGAAGGGGUUUGGAUGGUUGCACCAUGUGACCAAGAAGAAGGGUUACCGUUAAUUUAGUAAGAUUUUUUUUUUACAUGUCUUAAUCUUAAUGUUUAAGUGGCUCAACAAAUAUGUGUAUUUUGUUCAAGUAUCACAAGUAAAUAUGUUCUAUUCUUCUAUUUUGCAUGAAAGAUAAGAGUCUUUAUUCAGAAAUAAGGCAAAAAUAGUGUAUCAACUUAGAUGAUGAGAGGAUUAAUUCCACCAUUUUUUAUGGAUGUUAAGCUGUUGGUCUUGGCCAGUGGGUGCUCCUUUCCUCUGUUAAUAAAACUAGCAAUGAUAUGCUUUUGCAUUGCCA
RNAcentral lists this unclassified non-coding RNA (1598 nucleotides) under Hevea brasiliensis (rubber tree). Lineage: Eukaryota; Viridiplantae; Streptophyta; Magnoliopsida; Malpighiales; Euphorbiaceae. The record is from RNAcentral.